Molecule: RNase P RNA, 333 nt
Filed under: Candidatus Bipolaricaulota bacterium
Lineage: Bacteria; Candidatus Bipolaricaulota
Description: RNase P RNA component class A
Rfam family: Bacterial RNase P class A
About the family: Ribonuclease P (RNase P) is a ubiquitous endoribonuclease, found in archaea, bacteria and eukarya as well as chloroplasts and mitochondria.
Source: RNAcentral
AGAGGGGGAGAGGAAGCCGCGACCUUGACGGUCGAGGAAAGUCCGGACUCCACAGGGUAGGUCGCUGGUCGAGGCAUUUGUCUAAGACCAGAGCCGGCGACGGCUGGAAAGUGCCACAGAAAACAGACAACCAGCUCUUAAUUAAGUGCUGGUAAGGGUGAAACGGUGAGGUAAGAGCUCACCGCUCCGUCCGCGAGGUUCGGAGGCAGGGCAAACCCCGACCGGAGUAAAGCCAAAUAGGGAGGCUGGAGCUGCCCGCUCCGUUACCUCCGGGUAGGCUGCUGAGAUAGAUGGCUUCCUAACACAGGAUCCGGCUUAACUCCCCCUCGUUUC